RNAcentral lists this ribosomal RNA (253 nucleotides) under uncultured bacterium. Its description in RNAcentral is "partial 16S ribosomal RNA". It matches the Rfam family "Bacterial small subunit ribosomal RNA", at positions 524 to 776 of the family's 1533-position model. The record is from RNAcentral.
UACGUAGGGCGCAAGCGUUGUCCGGAAUUAUUGGGCGUAAAGAGCUCGUAGGCGGUCUGUUACGUCCGCUGUGAAAACCCAGGGCUUAACCUCGAGCUGUCGGCGGAAACCAUCUGGCUAGAGUCCGGAAGAGGAGAAUGGAAUUCCCGGUGUAGCGGUGAAAUGCGCAGAUAUCGGGAAGAACACCCGUGGCGAAGGCGGUUCUCUGGGACGGUACUGACGCUGAGACGCGAAAGCGUGGGGAGCGAACAGG